Long non-coding RNA from Daucus carota subsp. sativus, 1128 nucleotides. RefSeq lists it as uncharacterized. The record is from RefSeq and is a predicted model, not a curated record. NCBI's taxonomy places the organism in Eukaryota, Viridiplantae, Streptophyta, Magnoliopsida, Apiales, Apiaceae. The transcript has 4 exons.
GACUCUUUCAUUUUCACAUCUGAUCAGUGCAUCGCUGAACGAGACCACGUUCAUCUCCCCACUCUCCGCUCUCUGAAUAAUUAACUCCACUCUCUACUCUUCAAUUUAUAAUUUAUAAUCAAAUUAAUCUUUCGACUCCACUUUCUCUCCGCUGGGAAUUGAUUUUCUCCGACUUUCUUUCUUGGAAUCGCGUGUUUGCGAUCGAGGGAGCUUGCAAAGCUGUGAUUUCCAGAUUGUGCUUUCCAGUUGAGAUGUAGCUAUAUUGGAUUGGGAACCUUUGGUUCGAGAUUCGAUCAUGGUAUUUAUUAAUUUAUUAAUAAAAAGGGUUCUUCACAGGUGAUCAAUUCAUUUGGGCAUCUUUGGAAAGACAUAUAUUAGAGUGUUAUUCAAUUAUAUCUUCUACUUUACUUGGUGGAAUUAAUCAUGUGCUGACUGCAGUUCUAUUUGUGUUCUGGUUGCACCCUUCUUUUGAGAAGAGAAUGCUGCAUAUUUAGCAAUGGCAGUUAUAUCAAGAUUGGAUUAGCAGAACUGGAACAUUGGUGCUACAAAGAAACAAAUGAGGAUUGCCCAAGGCCAGUGAUAGCACAAUAUUGUAAAUGAGGUAAAUGUCCUUAAAAGCAGAACUGGAACAUAGGUGCUACAAGAAAACAAAUGAGGUAAUAUUUAGCAACGGCAGGGAUGACAAGUAUGGUACACGUAGCCUUUCCCCAGAUGUAAUAUCUGCCCUGAGGAUGUUAAUGACUGAAGAUUCAAACAAUGCUGCCAGUAGUUCUUUUUUGCUUGAAAAUGAUUCAAGGUUAAAGAUAAGACAGUGAAAUGCAAUCACAGUUGUCAUUACUUCAAUUUGUUCUAUUUCUGAUUAAAAAUGUGUCCUGCAACUGAGUGAGACUACUACAUUAUUGUUUCUUCGCCUUGCAUCUCCGGUACACACCACUACAUCGAUUCUUCACUAUAGUAACUCUAGGACCCAGGUUUUGGGACCUCCUCGAAGGGGACCUGCCAGUCAAGUCUAUUUAUGAGACCUUCUCAAUGGUGGGUGUUUUGUGCAGACAUAUUUGUUAUUGUAAUAAAUAACUAUGUAAUACUUUUUUUUAUUAAUAAGAUUGAAUUGAUGGUUAAUUUUUUCUA